RNAcentral lists this unclassified non-coding RNA (175 nucleotides) under soil metagenome. RNAcentral describes it as "partial internal transcribed spacer 1". The record is from RNAcentral.
CAACAAGGCCAUGGGCCCCCCGGCGCCCCGGCGCUGGAGGGUGCCGGCCUGACUUACACACCCACCCUUUGCCUAUGUGUACCUCUAUCGCUUCCUCGGCAGGCCCGCCUGCCGCCAGGAACCACGUAAACCCUUUGCAUCAUACAUCAACUCUGAUACCAACCAAAAACUAUUA